UGGGGAAUUUUCCGCAAUGGGCGCAAGCCUGACGGAGCAAUACCGCGUGAGGGAGGAAGGCUUUUGGGUUGUAAACCUCUUUUCUCGGUGAGGAUGAUGACGGUAGCCGAGGAAUAAGCACCGGCUAACUCCGUGCCAGCAGCCGCGGUAAGACGGAGGGUGCUAGCGUUGUUCGGAAUUACUGGGCGUAAAGGGCGCGUAGGCGGCCUGCUGAGUUGGAUGUGAAAGCCCGGGGCUCAACCUCGGAAUUGCAUCCGAUACUGGCGGGCUCGAGACCGGGAGAGGAGGGUGGAAUACCCAGUGUAGAGGUGAAAUUCGUAGAUAUUGGGUGGAACACCGGUGGCGAAAGCGGCUCUCUGGCCCGGUUCUGACGCUGAGGCGCGAAAGCGUGGGGAGCAAACAGGAUUAGAUACCCGGGUAGUCC
Molecule: ribosomal RNA, 424 nt
Filed under: uncultured prokaryote
Description: bacterial SSU rRNA
Rfam family: Bacterial small subunit ribosomal RNA
Source: RNAcentral